AACGAACGUUGGCGGCGUGCUUAACACAUGCAAGUCGAGCGAGAAAUCCUACUUCGGUAGGAGAGUAGAGCGGCGCACGGGUGAGUAACGCGUGAAUGACAUACCUUCAGGUGCGGAAUAACUUCUCGAAAGGGGAGCUAAUACCGCAUAAUAUCCCAGAACUUCAUGGUUUUGUGGUCAAAGCUUUAUGUGCCUGAAGAUUGGUUCGCGUCCCAUUAGGUAGUUGGUGAGGUAAGAGCUCACCAAGCCAGAGAUGGGUAGCUGGUCUGAGAGGAUGAUCAGCCACACUGGAACUGAGACACGGUCCAGACUCCUACGGGAGGCAGCAGUGGGGAAUCUUGCGCAAUGGACGAAAGUCUGACGCAGCAACGCCGCGUGGGUGACGAAGGUUUUCGGAUCGUAAAGCCCUGUCAGGAGGGAAGAAACAAAUGACGGUACCUCCAAAGGAAGCACCGGCUAACUCCG
RNAcentral lists this ribosomal RNA (465 nucleotides) under uncultured delta proteobacterium. RNAcentral describes it as "bacterial SSU rRNA". It matches the Rfam family "Bacterial small subunit ribosomal RNA", at positions 29 to 505 of the family's 1533-position model. The record is from RNAcentral. Lineage: Bacteria; Deltaproteobacteria.